ACGUAGGGGGCAAGCGUUAUCCGGAUUUACUGGGUGUAAAGGGAGCGUAGACGGCUGUGCAAGUCUGAAGUGAAAGCCCGCGGCUCAACUGCGGAAUUGCUUUGGAAACUGUAUAGCUUGAGUAUCGGAGGGGUAAGCGGAAUUCCUAGUGUAGCGGUGAAAUGCGUAGAUAUUAGGAGGAACACCGGUGGCGAAGGCGGCUUACUGGACGAUAACUGACGUUGAGGCUCGAAAGCGUGGGGAGCAAACAG
RNAcentral lists this ribosomal RNA (251 nucleotides) under uncultured bacterium. RNAcentral's name for it is "partial 16S ribosomal RNA". It matches the Rfam family "Bacterial small subunit ribosomal RNA", at positions 525 to 775 of the family's 1533-position model. The record is from RNAcentral.